Long non-coding RNA from Mus musculus (house mouse), 2355 nucleotides. RefSeq annotates it as predicted gene 10874. The record is from RefSeq and is marked validated. NCBI's taxonomy places the organism in Eukaryota, Metazoa, Chordata, Mammalia, Rodentia, Muridae. The transcript is spliced from 4 exons.
ACUACAUCUUCUACUGUCCCUGUUGAAGUGGCAACAGACCUGUUGGUUUUUGUAAAGCAUAAUUUCUGUAAUGUGGUCUGCUGACACAGUUUGCUCCACACCAGGAGGACGAACUUGAGGACAACUGUUAAUGACAGAACUAGUUAUUUUUCUCUUACAGCCUCUAUUACGUGAGGCUCUACCGGGGUCCACGGGGGAGCCCCUGAUACCACCUGAGGCUUUAGGUAAAGCGUCUGACCUAUUCCAGUGCCAUGGCUGACAGGUGUUUGGUGCUGUGAUUUUUCUUGCGUGUGUAAACUUUCAGAAAAGCUGGAGACAAAAGGAUGAGGGAGUUUGGUUUAGAGCCGACGAAGUUCCAGAUACCAGCCGAGGAAGCCUCUGCCCUACCUCUCUUUCGAGGAGCGAGUUCAGUUGCUGAGUUGUGCACCGUGGUUGGAAACCGGAUCUAUUCACCACCACCCACCCUCCCUCACCCUGCACAUGACGCUCACGAGCGCAAAGGCUGUCGGGAAAGUGGUCUCUGUUCCUUCGCACCUGGGAAUUACUUGGUGACCUGGUGAAUGGCAUGGGCAAGGUAGCCCACAUUGCCAGAGGUGACCCCUGCCACGGAGAUUCGGCCAUCCUUUGUCAUGUAGACCGAGAACUCCUUGGUCAGCCGCUCCACCUGCUCUGGCUUUAGGCCGGUGAAACAGAACAUGCCGAUCUGGUCGGUGAUGUGCUGCCAGUUGUGGGAAGAGCCCUCUUUCUUCAGGUUGGAGACCAGCUGGGUCCUCAUGCUGAUGAUGCGGUCAGCCAUGCCUUUCACCUCUUGCAACCAUUGCUUCCGCAAGUCUGGAGAAGUCAGGAUGGUUGCUGUGAUCCGGGCCCCAUUGAGAGGUGGGUUGGAAUACAGGGGACGGAUCAAGAUCUUCAGCUGUGACUCCACCCUUUUGGCUUCUUCUGCAUCUUUGCAGACCACCGUGAAGGCUCCCACACGCUCACCGUACAGGCCCAUGUUCUUGGCAUACGAUUGGCAGAGGCAGACAUUGAUGCCCUGCUCGAUGAAGUGCCGCACGGCCCAGGCAUCCUUAUCACCAUCACCGCUGGCAAAGCCUUGGUAGGCCAUGUCAAAGAAUGCGAAGAGAUUCUUUUUCUUCACCACGGACGCUAUCUCCUUCCACUGCUCGGGACGAGGGUCCACGCCUGUGGGGUUGUGAGCGCAGGCAUGCAGGAGGAGGACACUCUGCUCUGGGAUUUUUGAUAUGUCUUCUAGGGCUCCGGAGAAGUCAAAACCGCAAGUCUUGGGGUCAUAGUAGCGAUAACCUUGGAGCUGCAUGCCGGCAUCCCUGAAGAUGGGCGUGUGAUUCCCCCAGGACGGUUUGGGCAGAAAGACAUCUUGGCUGAACUUAAAAAACCUUUGCAGAAAACUGGCCCCGACCCUUAAGGCUCCAGUCCCGGAAAUGGUCUGCACAGUGACGAACCGGCCGCUUUUCAACACUUCGUUGUUCUCGCCCAGGGCCAGUUCUGCAGAAGCCUUACAGAAUUCAGCCAGUCCCCCAAUGGGCAGGUAUUCCUUGUCCAAAUUUUUUGCAGCAAUCUGGGCCUCUGCCUUCCGGACACUGGGGAGCACGUAAGGUUUUCCGUUAUCAUCCCGGUAGAGUUUGUCAGAGAUUAUGAGAUGCCCAAAACUUGUCUGUGCUCCAACUAAAGCAACUCAUCUGUGGUCAUGUAAAGAGCAGGAAGAUACUGUCCUGAAGCAUUCAAAGGGCUGCACAGAAAAGUUUUGGAGGAUUUUGACAACAGCAAGCUUCAUGUUAAUGAGAGCAAACCUCAUGCCAAGGCAGUUUCUAGGACCGUUUCCAAAAGAUGACCCUGACCCAUAGUCAAGAAGGAUAGUGAGAAUGGCUCUGAGGUUGAGAGCACUGAGUGGUCUUCCAAAGGUGCCAAGUUCAGUUCUCAGCAACCACAUGAUGGUUCACAACCAUGGUAUCUCCUGACAUGCAAGCAGAACACUAUGCACAUACUAAAAUAAAUCUUUAAAAAAAGAAUGAGCAUAUGAACUUUCUAGGAAAUAGAUUACUUGGCUUUGGAGGAAUCAUCCACUAAAUGUGUGUGAAGGAGCAAUCCUCAUGAAGGAGAGAGAGACACAACACUAAGAGGAGGUAUAUUCACAUUUAUCCUCAGCGAGACUGCUUCAACUAGCAAAAGCUGACUUUCUGCAACUUCUAAAUGCACAAAUGAGUAAUUCAAUGGAUUCCUAUAUUUGAUAAAUGAUUCCUGUAUUUGGGCAUGUGUCUGGAGAGUUCUACUACCAUUAAGGACAACUUCAAAGAAACAUAAACAUAACAACUUUAAUAAAGCAUUAAUUUCCUAAUC